GGUGCUUGGAUGGCUUCCGCAGAUAGGUGCAUCMUGCSUGGUGCAUCCUGAUACAAACAGUGUGGYUCGUCMGGUARGAGCCUCUAGUGGCCACCGCCGACGUGCGGGGUUUGGGCGCGGGUCCYUGUCGGGCUCSCGUCUGAACCUUAUGAAUGGACGUUCASAGCUGUUGUUCUAAUGSGGGUUGGCCCMCCMCAACACGUUGUGAGGUCACCCACAGGCUCAAACUGCCGAGCGCGAACCCAGAGUUACGGCUCAUAUGCGUGUACGACACUGCUUCCCCUCCUCUGCCAGAGGAGAGGGGGGCCUACACGUGCCUAAUCCUGGGUCGGGCRGCGACCGAGUUAAACCUGGUACSAUCCUCUUGCGACGAGUUGCAUUCUGGCCAGACCGGCGUCCCGGCCGUCUCCCUUUGCCGGAGGCGGUCSACCCCAGGCGGUUUGACCCUCUGUGUGAGUAACAUCAACAAGGUCUCUCAGCCGGGCGCUGGUCUGAGUGGUGUAGUGCC
RNAcentral lists this ribosomal RNA (508 nucleotides) under Pseudoniphargus gorbeanus. RNAcentral's name for it is "partial 28S ribosomal RNA". The record is from RNAcentral. Lineage: Eukaryota; Metazoa; Arthropoda; Malacostraca; Amphipoda; Allocrangonyctidae.